Molecule: ribosomal RNA, 399 nt
Filed under: Salmonella enterica subsp. enterica serovar Kentucky
Lineage: Bacteria; Pseudomonadati; Pseudomonadota; Gammaproteobacteria; Enterobacterales; Enterobacteriaceae
Description: bacterial SSU rRNA
Rfam family: Bacterial small subunit ribosomal RNA
Source: RNAcentral
AAGUAGACCGCCUGGGGAGUACGGCCGCAAGGUUAAAACUCAAAUGAAUUGACGGGGGCCCGCACAAGCGGUGGAGCAUGUGGUUUAAUUCGAUGCAACGCGAAGAACCUUACCUGGUCUUGACAUCCACGGAAGUUUUCAGAGAUGAGAAUGUGCCUUCGGGAACCGUGAGACAGGUGCUGCAUGGCUGUCGUCAGCUCGUGUUGUGAAAUGUUGGGUUAAGUCCCGCAACGAGCGCAACCCUUAUCCUUUGUUGCCAGCGAUUAGGUCGGGAACUCAAAGGAGACUGCCAGUGAUAAACUGGAGGAAGGUGGGGAUGACGUCAAGUCAUCAUGGCCCUUACGACCAGGGCUACACACGUGCUACAAUGGCGCAUACAAAGAGAAGCGACCUCGCGAG